GCCAUCAGCAAUAUCACUUUGAAUGUACCUGGUCUCCUAUGAUCUCAGAAGCUAAGCAGGGUUGGGUCUGGUUAGUACUUGCAUGAAAAUAUUGAAAGCAGGGACUUGAAGGGA
RNAcentral lists this ribosomal RNA (114 nucleotides) under Microcebus murinus (gray mouse lemur). Lineage: Eukaryota; Metazoa; Chordata; Mammalia; Primates; Cheirogaleidae. The record is from RNAcentral.